RNAcentral lists this transfer RNA (68 nucleotides) under Fidelibacterota bacterium. RNAcentral describes it as "tRNA-Trp". It matches the Rfam family "tRNA", at positions 5 to 66 of the family's 71-position model. Rfam says of the family: Transfer RNA (tRNA) molecules are approximately 80 nucleotides in length. Their secondary structure includes four short double-helical elements and three loops (D, anti-codon, and T loops). Further hydrogen bonds mediate the characteristic L-shaped molecular structure. tRNAs have two regions of fundamental functional importance: the anti-codon, which is responsible for specific mRNA codon recognition, and the 3' end, to which the tRNAs corresponding amino acid is attached (by aminoacyl-tRNA synthetases). tRNAs cope with the degeneracy of the genetic code in two manners: having more than one tRNA (with a specific anti-codon) for a particular amino acid; and 'wobble' base-pairing, i.e. permitting non-standard base-pairing at the 3rd anti-codon position. The record is from RNAcentral. Lineage: Bacteria; Pseudomonadati; Fidelibacterota.
GAGUAGCUCAAUUGGUAGAGCACCGGUCUCCAAAACCGGCGGUUGCGGGUUCAAUUCCUGCCUCACCU